GAUCAUGGCUCAGGACGAACGCUGGCGGCGCGCCUAACACAUGCAAGUCGAACGGAGCUUAAAGAGCUUGCUUUUUAAGCUUAGUGGCGAACGGGUGAGUAACGCGUGAGUAACCUGCCCUGAAGUGGGGGACAACAGUUGGAAACGACUGCUAAUACCGCAUAAGCCCACGGAUUCGCAUGGAUCUGCGGGAAAAGGAUUUAUUCGCUUCAGGAUGGACUCGCGUCCAAUUAGCUAGUUGGUGAGGUAACGGCCCACCAAGGCGACGAUUGGUAGCCGGACUGAGAGGUUGAACGGCCACAUUGGGACUGAGACACGGCCCAGACUCCUACGGGAGGCAGCAGUGGGGGAUAUUGCACAAUGGGGGAAACCCUGAUGCAGCGACGCCGCGUGGAGGAAGAAGGUUUUCGGAUUGUAAACUCCUGUCGUUAGGGACGAUAAUGACGGUACCUAACAAGAAAGCACCGGCUAACUACGUGCCAGCAGCCGCGGUAAAACGUAGGGUGCAAGCGUUGUCCGGAAUUACUGGGUGUAAAGGGAGCGCAGGCGGACCGGGCAAGUUGGAAGUGAAAACUAUGGGCUCAACCCAUAAAUUGCUUUCAAAACUGCUGGCCUUGAGUAGUGCAGAGGUAGGUGGAAUUCCCGGUGUAGCGGUGGAAUGCGUAGAUAUCGGGAGGAACACCAGUGGCGAAGGCGACCUACUGGGCACCAACUGACGCUGAGGCUCGAAAGCAUGGGUAGCAAACAGGAUUAGAUACCCUGGUAGUCCAUGCCGUAAACGAUGAUUACUAGGUGUUGGAGGAUUGACCCCUUCAGUGCCGCAGUUAACACAAUAAGUAAUCCACCUGGGGAGUACGACCGCAAGGUUGAAACUCAAAGGAAUUGACGGGGGCCCGCACAAGCAGUGGAGUAUGUGGUUUAAUUCGAAGCAACGCGAAGAACCUUACCAGGUCUUGACAUCCGAUGCAUAGUGCAGAGAUGCAUGAAGUCCUUCGGGACAUCGAGACAGGUGGUGCAUGGUUGUCGUCAGCUCGUGUCGUGAGAUGUUGGGUUAAGUCCCGCAACGAGCGCAACCCUUAUUGCCAGUUACUACGCAAGAGGACUCUGGCGAGACUGCCGUUGACAAAACGGAGGAAGGUGGGGAUGACGUCAAAUCAUCAUGCCCUUUAUGACCUGGGCUACACACGUACUACAAUGGCGUUUAACAAAGAGAAGCAAGACCGCGAGGUGGAGCAAAACUCAAAAACAACGUCUCAGUUCAGAUUGCAGGCUGCAACUCGCCUGCAUGAAGUCGGAAUUGCUAGUAAUCGCGGAUCAGCAUGCCGCGGUGAAUACGUUCCCGGGCCUUGUACACACCGCCCGUCACACCAUGAGAG
Molecule: ribosomal RNA, 1376 nt
Filed under: uncultured bacterium
Lineage: Bacteria
Description: bacterial SSU rRNA
Rfam family: Bacterial small subunit ribosomal RNA
Source: RNAcentral